UACGGAGGGUGCAAGCGUUGUCCGGAUUUAUUGGGUUUAAAGGGUGCGUAGGUGGCCUUAUAAGUCAGUGGUGAAAGCCUGCAGCUUAACUGUAGGACUGCCAUUGAUACUGUAGGGCUUGAGUAUUGAUGAGGUAGGCGGAAUUGAUAGUGUAGCGGUGAAAUGCAUAGAUAUUAUCAAGAACACCGAUUGCGAAGGCAGCUUACUAAGGAAUAACUGACACUGAGGCACGAAAGCGUGGGGAUCAAAC
RNAcentral lists this ribosomal RNA (250 nucleotides) under uncultured bacterium. RNAcentral describes it as "partial 16S ribosomal RNA". It matches the Rfam family "Bacterial small subunit ribosomal RNA", at positions 524 to 773 of the family's 1533-position model. The record is from RNAcentral.